RNAcentral lists this unclassified non-coding RNA (253 nucleotides) under uncultured Cellvibrionales bacterium. RNAcentral describes it as "contains 16S-23S intergenic spacer region". It matches the Rfam family "Bacterial small subunit ribosomal RNA", at positions 524 to 776 of the family's 1533-position model. The record is from RNAcentral. Lineage: Bacteria; Pseudomonadati; Pseudomonadota; Gammaproteobacteria; Cellvibrionales.
UACGUAGGUGGCAAGCGUUAAUCGGAAUUACUGGGCGUAAAGCGCGCGUAGGCGGCUAUUUAAGCUAGAUGUGAAAGCCCAGGGCUUAACCUUGGAACUGCAUUUAGAACUGGGUAGCUAGAGUACAGCAGAGGAUAGUGGAAUUUCAGGUGUAGCGGUGAAAUGCGUAGAGAUCUGAAGGAACAUCAGUGGCGAAGGCGACUGUCUGGGCUGAUACUGACGCUGAGGUGCGAAAGCGUGGGGAGCAAACAGG